This 248-nucleotide ribosomal RNA is filed under the name Vibrio parahaemolyticus. Its description in RNAcentral is "partial 23S ribosomal RNA". It matches the Rfam family "Bacterial large subunit ribosomal RNA", at positions 1341 to 1589 of the family's 2925-position model. Lineage: Bacteria; Pseudomonadati; Pseudomonadota; Gammaproteobacteria; Vibrionales; Vibrionaceae. The record is from RNAcentral.
GAAGACCAAGGGUUCCUGUCCAACGUUAAUCGGGGCAGGGUAAGUCGACCCCUAAGGCGAGGCCGAAAGGCGUAGUCGAUGGGAAACGGGUUAAUAUUCCCGUACUUCUUACAAUUGCGAUGGGGGGACGGAGAAGGCUAGGUGGGCCUGGCGACGGUUGUCCAGGUUCAAGUGCGUAGGCUUAAGAGUUAGGUAAAUCCGGCUCUUUUUAAGGCUGAGACACGACGUCGAGCACCUACGGGUGUGAA